AUGGGAACGCGAAGAACCUUACCUAGACUUGACAUCUCCUGAAUAGUGUAGAGAUACAUGAAGCCCUUCGGGGCAGGAAGACAGGUGGUGCAUGGUUGUCAUCAGCUCGUGUCGUGAGAUGUUGGGUUAAGUCCCGCAACGAGCGCAACCCUUAUCAUUAGUUGCUACCAGUAAGAUGAGCACUCUAAUGAGACUGCCCGGGUUAACCGGGAGGAAGGCGGGGAUGACGUCAAAUCAUCAUGCCCCUUAUGUCUAGGGCUACACACGUGCUACAAUGGCAAGUACAAAGAGAAGCAAGACCGUGAGGUGGAGCAAAUCUCAAAAACUUGUCCCAGUUCGGAUUGUAGGCUGAAACUCGCCUACAUGAAGCCGGAGUUGCUAGUAAUCGCGAAUCAGCAUGUCGCGGUGAAUACGUUCCCGGGUCUUGUACACACCG
This 436-nucleotide ribosomal RNA is filed under the name uncultured bacterium. Its description in RNAcentral is "bacterial SSU rRNA". It matches the Rfam family "Bacterial small subunit ribosomal RNA", at positions 954 to 1392 of the family's 1533-position model. The record is from RNAcentral.